GAGUCUUCAUAGGUACUCCAAGGCCACACAGGGACAGAUGUGACGCUUCCCCAGGCUUGUGCCUGGAAAAGAACCAGGGAGAGGCCCAGAUAGCAGGCCAUGACUGCUCUCUUGUAUCCUCGUGCCUGCUAGGUGCACGAUGAGACCAUGGCUAUCUUCUAAGGGUCUUGUACCUAGUAGGUGCACAACAACUUUUGAAUGAAUACAUGACGGAUAGCAACAAGAAAUAAAAAAUAGCAAAUGCA
Molecule: long non-coding RNA, 245 nt
Filed under: Rattus norvegicus (Norway rat)
Lineage: Eukaryota; Metazoa; Chordata; Mammalia; Rodentia; Muridae
Description: long non-coding RNA NONRATT021760
Source: RNAcentral